AGGAGAGGCUGUCUCCCCGGUGGACGUUUGCGCCGGGGGGGCGGCGGACGCAGUUGUUGCUUCUGGAGGGAGGGUCGAA
This 79-nucleotide non-coding RNA is filed under the name Zooxanthella nutricula. The record is from RNAcentral. Lineage: Eukaryota; Dinophyceae; Peridiniales.